RNAcentral lists this ribosomal RNA (254 nucleotides) under uncultured bacterium. RNAcentral's name for it is "partial 16S ribosomal RNA". It matches the Rfam family "Bacterial small subunit ribosomal RNA", at positions 524 to 776 of the family's 1533-position model. The record is from RNAcentral.
GACGAACCGUGCGAACGUUAUUCGGAAUCACUGGGCUUAAAGCGCGUGUAGGCGGGCCGCCACGUCGGGCGCUGAAAUCCCCCGGCUCAACCGGGGAACGGGCACCGAUCCGAGCGGCCUGGAGGGGAGUAGGGGGACCUGGAACUUCCGGUGGAGCGGUGAAAUGCGUUGAGAUCGGAAGGAACGCCCGUGGCGAAAGCGAGGUCCUGGGCUCCUGCUGACGCUGAGACGCGAAAGCCAGGGGAGCGAACGGG